RNAcentral lists this ribosomal RNA (207 nucleotides) under uncultured bacterium. RNAcentral describes it as "partial 16S ribosomal RNA". It matches the Rfam family "Bacterial small subunit ribosomal RNA", at positions 568 to 774 of the family's 1533-position model. The record is from RNAcentral.
CACGUAGGCGGUUUGGUAAGUCGAAUGUGAAAUCUCACGGCUCAACCGUGAAACUGCGUUCGAAAUUACCUGACUUGAGUACUGGAGAGGUAUGCGGAAUUCCUGGUGUAGCGGUGGAAUGCGUGGAUAUCAGGAAGAACACCAGUGGCGAAGGCGGCAUACUGGCCAAGUACUGACGCUCAGGUGCGAAAGCGUGGGGAGCAAACG